UAAACUCAAUUACAUUGAAGUCACAGUG
This 28-nucleotide small RNA is filed under the name Bombyx mori (domestic silkworm). RNAcentral's name for it is "ovarian small RNA-18211". Lineage: Eukaryota; Metazoa; Arthropoda; Insecta; Lepidoptera; Bombycidae. The record is from RNAcentral.